Molecule: ribosomal RNA, 468 nt
Filed under: uncultured bacterium
Lineage: Bacteria
Description: partial 16S ribosomal RNA
Rfam family: Bacterial small subunit ribosomal RNA
Source: RNAcentral
GACGAACGCUGGCGGCGUGCUUAACACAUGCAAGUCGAACGGAAAGGCCCUGCUUUUGUGGGGUGCUCGAGUGGCGAACGGGUGAGUAACACGUGAGUAACCUGCCCUUGACUUUGGGAUAACUUCAGGAAACUGGGGCUAAUACCGGAUAGGAGCUCCUGCUGCAUGGUGGGGGUUGGAAAGUUUCGGCGGUUGGGGAUGGACUCGCGGCUUAUCAGCUUGUUGGUGGGGUAGUGGCUUACCAAGGCUUUGACGGGUAGCCAGCCUGAGAGGGUGACCGGCCACAUUGGGACUGAGAGACGGCCCAGACGCCUACGGGAGGCAGCAGUGGGGAAUAUGGCACAAUGGGCGGAAGCGUGAGGCAGCAACGCCGCGUGCGGGAUGACGGCUUUCGGGUUGUAAACCGAUUUCGCCGGUGACGAAGCGGGAGUGACGGUAAUGGGUAAAGAAGCACCGGCUAACUACGUG